Molecule: transfer RNA, 83 nt
Filed under: SAR202 cluster bacterium
Lineage: Bacteria; Bacillati; Chloroflexota; Dehalococcoidia
Description: tRNA-Leu
Rfam family: tRNA
About the family: Transfer RNA (tRNA) molecules are approximately 80 nucleotides in length. Their secondary structure includes four short double-helical elements and three loops (D, anti-codon, and T loops).
Source: RNAcentral
GCGUCUGUGGUGGAAUGGUAUACACGUCAGACUCAAAAUCUGAUUCUCGCAAGGGAUUAUGAGUUCAAGUCUCAUCAGACGCA